RNAcentral lists this ribosomal RNA (253 nucleotides) under uncultured bacterium. RNAcentral's name for it is "partial 16S ribosomal RNA". It matches the Rfam family "Bacterial small subunit ribosomal RNA", at positions 524 to 776 of the family's 1533-position model. The record is from RNAcentral.
UACGUAGGGCGCGAGCGUUGUCCGGAAUUAUUGGGCGUAAAGAGCUCGUAGGCGGCCUGUUGCGUCCGCUGUGAAAUCCCAGGGCUCAACCCUGGGCGUGCAGUGGAUACGGGCAGGCUGGAGGCAGGCAGGGGAGAACGGAAUUCCCGGUGUAGCGGUGAAAUGCGCAGAUAUCGGGAGGAACACCGGUGGCGAAGGCGGUUCACUGGCUCAUAUCUGACGCUCAGGCGCGACAGCGUGGGGAUCAAACAGG